Molecule: ribosomal RNA, 497 nt
Filed under: uncultured bacterium
Lineage: Bacteria
Description: partial 16S ribosomal RNA
Rfam family: Bacterial small subunit ribosomal RNA
Source: RNAcentral
GAUGAACGCUGGCGGCGUGCCUAAUACAUGCAAGUCGAGCGAACGGACGAGAAGCUUGCUUCUCUGAUGUUAGCGGCGGACGGGUGAGUAACACGUGGAUAACCUACCUAUAAGACUGGGAUAACUUCGGGAAACCGGAGCUAAUACCGGAUAAUAUUUUGAACCGCAUGGUUCAAAAGUGAAAGACGGUCUUGCUGUCACUUAUAGAUGGAUCCGCGCUGCAUUAGCUAGUUGGUAAGGUAACGGCUUACCAAGGCAACGAUGCAUAGCCGACCUGAGAGGGUGAUCGGCGACACUGGAACGGAGACACGGUCCAGACUCCUACGGGAGGCAGCAGUAGGGAAUCUUCCGCAAUGGUCGAAAGCCUGACGGAGCAACGCCGCGUGAGUUAUGAAGGUCUUCGGACCGUAAAACUCUGUUAUUAGGGAAGAACAUAUGUGUAAGUAACUGUGCACAUCGUGACGGUACCUAAUCAGAAAGCCACGGCUAACUACGUG